This 76-nucleotide transfer RNA is filed under the name Shewanella piezotolerans WP3. Its description in RNAcentral is "tRNA-Gly". The record is from RNAcentral. Lineage: Bacteria; Pseudomonadati; Pseudomonadota; Gammaproteobacteria; Alteromonadales; Shewanellaceae.
UCGUUGCGGUCCCGUCCCCUUGAUGCACAUCACAAUCAAAAAUAAGGACGUUAUCAAUACCUGGUUGUUUUAAAGC